CUGAACGCCUCUAAGUCAGAAUCCGUGCUAGAAACGAUGAUGUUGGUGUCGCACAUUAGACUUGUGUUUAAAUAGAGCUUUGCUCGUGAACCAAAUAUGGUGGGCUGGGUUGUCUUUGUGGAAACGCUUAGGCGACUUGUCUACGAAUUGUAAUCAUAAUAUGGGCGGCGGUGAAUCCUUUGCAGACGACUUGAAUGGGAACGGGGUACUGUAAGUGGUAGAGUAGCCUUGUUGCUACGAUCCACUGAGGUUAAGCCCUUGUUCUAAAGAUUUGUUCA
Molecule: ribosomal RNA, 278 nt
Filed under: Armillaria borealis
Lineage: Eukaryota; Fungi; Basidiomycota; Agaricomycetes; Agaricales; Physalacriaceae
Description: partial 26S ribosomal RNA
Rfam family: Eukaryotic large subunit ribosomal RNA
Source: RNAcentral